GAUGAACGCCGGCGGCGUGCCUAAUACAUGCAAGUCGAACGCAUAGCGAAAGGUGCUUGCACCUUUCAAGUGAGUGGCGAACGGGUGAGUAACACGUGGACAACCUGCCUCAAGGCUGGGGAUAACAUUUGGAAACAGAUGCUAAUACCGAAUAAAACUUAGUGUCGCAUGACACAAAGUUAAAAGGCGCUUCGGCGUCACCUAGAGAUGGAUCCGCGGUGCAUUAGUUAGUUGGUGGGGUAAAGGCCUACCAAGACAAUGAUGCAUAGCCGAGUUGAGAGACUGAUCGGCCACAUUGGGACUGAGACACGGCCCAAACUCCUACGGGAGGCUGCAGUAGGGAAUCUUCCACAAUGGGCGAAAGCCUGAUGGAGCAACGCCGCGUGUGUGAUGAAGGCUUUCGGGUCGUAAAGCACUGUUGUAUGGGAAGAACAGCUAGAAUAGGAAAUGAUUUUAGUUUGACGGUACCAUACCAGAAAGGGACGGCUAAAUACGUG
This 497-nucleotide ribosomal RNA is filed under the name uncultured bacterium. RNAcentral describes it as "partial 16S ribosomal RNA". It matches the Rfam family "Bacterial small subunit ribosomal RNA", at positions 28 to 507 of the family's 1533-position model. The record is from RNAcentral.